GAUGAACGCUGGCGGCGUGCUUAACACAUGCAAGUCGAACGAAGCACCUUAUUCUGAUUUCUUCGGAAUGAAAAAUUUGGUGACUGAGUGGCGGACGGGUGAGUAACGCGUGGGUAACCUGCCUCAUACAGGGGGAUAACAGUUAGAAAUGACUGCUAAUACCACAUAAGACCACAGCACCGCAUGGUGCAGGGGCAAAAACUCCGGUGGUAUGAGAUGGACCCGCGUCUGAUUAGGUAGUUGGUGGGGUAACGGCCUACCAAGCCGACGAUCAGUAGCCGACCUGAGAGGGUGACCGGCCACAUUGGGACUGAGACACGGCCCAAACUCCUACGGGAGGCAGCAGUGGGGAAUAUUGCACAAUGGGGGAAACCCUGAUGCAGCGACGCCGCGUGAGCGAUGAAGUAUUUCGGUAUGUAAAGCUCUAUCAGCAGGGAAGAAAAUGACGGUACCUGACUAAGAAGCACCGGCUAAAUACGUGCCAGCAGCCGCGGUAAUACGUAUGGUGCAAGCGUUAUCCGGAUUUACUGGGUGUAAAGGGAGCGUAGACGGAGUGGCAAGUCUGAUGUGAAAACCCGGGGCUCAACCCCGGGACUGCAUUGGAAACUGUCAAUCUGGAGUACCGGAGAGGUAAGCGGAAUUCCUAGUGUAGCGGUGAAAUGCGUAGAUAUUAGGAGGAACACCAGUGGCGAAGGCGGCUUACUGGACGGUAACUGACGUUGAGGCUCGAAAGCGUGNGGAGCAAACAGG
RNAcentral lists this ribosomal RNA (750 nucleotides) under uncultured bacterium. RNAcentral's name for it is "bacterial SSU rRNA". It matches the Rfam family "Bacterial small subunit ribosomal RNA", at positions 28 to 776 of the family's 1533-position model. The record is from RNAcentral.